Molecule: ribosomal RNA, 331 nt
Filed under: uncultured eukaryote
Lineage: Eukaryota
Description: partial 18S ribosomal RNA
Rfam family: Eukaryotic small subunit ribosomal RNA
Source: RNAcentral
CCCUUAGAUGUUCUGGGCCGCACGCGCGCUACACUGACGAAUGCAACGAGCUUAUAACCUUGGCCGAAAGGUCUGGGUAAUCUCCAAAUUUCGUCGUGAUGGGGAUAGAUUAUUGCAAUUAUUAAUCUUCAACGAGGAAUGCCUAGUAAGCGCAAGUCAUCAGCUUGCGUUGAUUACGUCCCUGCCCUUUGUACACACCGCCCGUCGCUACUACCGAUUGGAUCGUUUAGCGAGAGCCUUGGAUCGCUGCCCGGGUGGUCAGCAAUGGCCGCCCGGGAAUAGCGAAAAAUUGUUCCAGCUUGCCGAUCUAGAGGAAGUAAAAGUCGUAACA